RNAcentral lists this long non-coding RNA (2043 nucleotides) under Homo sapiens (human). RNAcentral describes it as "HSALNT0214362". The record is from RNAcentral. Lineage: Eukaryota; Metazoa; Chordata; Mammalia; Primates; Hominidae.
AAGUCAGCUACCUGCUUAGCAAGAUGUGUGGGCAGAAAUUCAUCCCGAAAGUGACGUGGACAGACAGUCCUCCGAUCUAUGGUCUCUAAAGUGCCUUUGCAAUACUGCAAUUAUUAUUUUCAGGAGGGCUCUUUCCCCCACAGCUAUGAUGAAGAUUCAGUUCAUAAUGUGUUCAACGUGUCAACAUCCCACAGGAACUGGAGGCCGAGUAUGAUUCCAAAUGGAAGCAGCCCUCAUUCAAAGCGGACAACCAGAUCUGCUGUCUCCCAGUCAGGGGAAACUUUUGCCAAACACAGGCCGUCUCUAAUUCCCUUUUAAAUUGUAGUCAAUGUUUUCACCCUGAACUCCAGAAUUGUAUAAUUAUACCUUAUAACAUAUGGCACACAAAGCUCCACGAGAAGGCAUCCCCAUCAAAAUUUAUAAGGCAGAGUUUGCAUCUCUGAUUUUAAAUGGGCUUAACUGCUCGAAUUAGAGUAGGUUUUCUAUUCCUGGGAGAGAGGAGAGUGUUCAGGAAUUCCAAGAACAAUCAGGGCAUUCCCGUAUGUCAGUUCCAGGUAGUGUCUGACCCAGCUGGCUGUCCUGGAAGACAGUUCACCAAAAGCAGUGAGGGACUUGCAGACAAUGUGGAGUGAACCUGAUGAGGUCAAUCCAAUGGAAGGAGCAAGAACAGAACAGAAAGGCUGCAUUUGGGGCCUUUUUAUAAGAAUGCUUUAAUCCUAGCUUCUACUGAUUGAAUAACCUUAGUGAGGUAGUUCUGCUUGGUAUGGAAUUAACCUCUUUUUACAUCGUAUACAUACAUAAGAGCAAAUUAUUAAAUAUAUCCUUAGUACACACAGACAACAAAGAGGCAGAAUCCACUAGGUGAGAACUACCCUGCCUCAGUCUUAAGUUCCAUCAUUCAUUAAUAACAGAAAAAUAAAUGAUGGGGGUAUUCUAUUAGCCGCACAGUCUGAAUCUGAUUGAUCCAUCCACCUGGUAGUCCUGGAGGGACCAGGAGUCUUGAUCCAACUAUUAGUUACAUUCUCCAUUGCAGCUAAAUGAGAGAUUGGAAACGGCUACCAGGCCCUAUAUUACCUUCCAAUGCCCAGCCAUUUAGGUCAGAGGUGGCAACCAUGGGAACAAGUGGGAAUCCUGUCUCACCACAGCUCAGAUUCUACAUGGUACUAUUUCUCCUGCAGCAUGUAAGCAGUGUUUCCAAUAAGCAUCUUUAGAGCUCUUAUUAAGCGGACAGCAGAGUUCAAGCCAGGGAAAGGAUAGCACUCCAACCAAAAAACAACAUCUCAGCAAAUUAACAAAAUAAUUUAUCUAACAUCCACCCCUCCCAGAGAAAACUGUGUUGAAGGGAUUCAAACAUAAAGUGGCCUGCCUGACACUCUCAGUUACAGAUUCUUUUGAUGGGUAAAUGUACAGGGCUUGAUUCUUUGCCUAAAGCUCUUUCUAUCAAGUAUGAUUAGCUAAAUUCAAGAGAGAUGCUGCUUUUAGUGUGGUCAAUAGAAGCCCGGAAAGGAGGAAUAUUUCAGAAGAACAUAUAAGCGAAUGCCUAGCACAGGCCCUGAAUAAAUGCCUGCUGGAUCAGACUCUGAGUCUCAUACAAGGCCAAGCUGAGGAACAAUUUGCAGGUCGAUUCAAGUGCAAUACUGUUUCCUGAUGGGCUCCAGAGAGACAGGACACAUUAGGUGGAUUGCUAAAGAGCCCUAGCAACUCAGUACCAUGUCACACUAAAAGACUUCCAGCAAGAGAGCUAAGAACGUUAACGACCAUGCCUACUUGAGCCUCUGCGGACAUGUCUCAUCCUAGCUGCUUGGAUGGGUAAUUCCAUCGUACACUCUUGAUGAAUCUCCUUCCCUUAGUCAGAUCCUGCCUCUUCCACACCAUCGCUAUGUCUCAUACCUGCAGUAAGGAGGGAGUUGUCACUUCUCAACCUCAUUCACCAGACUGGUGACUCCCAGGGAACUUUCUAAAAAUGGGGAGGUGACCAGCCUCCCAGCAGCCUUCCAUGAGGGCACAGUUCUGUGGGCUCCUGGAUUGUUUAUAGACAUACCU